GUCUUGGUCGGAAACCAAGACAAUAAAAAGGAG
Molecule: non-coding RNA, 33 nt
Filed under: unclassified sequences
Description: L31-Coriobacteria ribosomal protein leader
Rfam family: L31-Coriobacteria ribosomal protein leader
Source: RNAcentral